GAUGAACGCUGGCGGCGUGCCUAAUACAUGCAAGUCGAGCGAACGGACGAGAAGCUUGCUUCUCUGAUGUUAGCGGCGGACGGGUGAGUAACACGUGGAUAACCUACCUAUAAGACUGGGAUAACUUCGGGAAACCGGAGCUAAUACCGGAUAAUAUUUUGAACCGCAUGGUUCAAAAGUGAAAGACGGUCUUGCUGCCACUUAUAGAUGGAUCCGCGCUGCAUUAGCUAGUUGGUAAGGUAACGGCUUACCAAGGCAACGAUGCAUAGCCGACCUGAGAGGGUGAUCGGCCACACUGGAACUGAGACACGGUCCAGACUCCUACGGGAGGCAGCAGUAGGGAAUCUUCCGCAAUGGGCGAAAGCCUGACGGAGCAACGCCGCGUGAGUGAUGAAGGUCUUCGGAUCGUAAAACUCUGUUAUUAGGGAAGAACAUAUGUGUAAGUAACUGUGCACAUCUUGACGGUACCUAAUCAGAAAGCCACGGCUAACUACGUGCCAGCAGCCGCGGUAAUACGUAGGUGGCAAGCGUUAUCCGGAAUUAUUGGGCGUAAAGCGCGCGUAAGCGGUUUUUUUAAGUCUGAUGUGAAAGCCCACGGCUCAACCGUGGAGGGUCAUUGGAAACUGGAAAACUUGAGUGCAGAAGAGGAAAGUGGAAUUCCAUGUGUAGCGGUGAAAUGCGCAGAGAUAUGGAGGAACACCAGUGGCGAAGGCGACUUUCUGGUCUGUAACUGACGCUGAUGUGCGAAAGCGUGGGGAUCAAACAGGAUUAGAUACCCUGGUAGUCCACGCCGUAAACGAUGAGUGCUAAGUGUUAGGGGGUUUCCGCCCCUUAGUGCUGCAGCUAACGCAUUAAGCACUCCGCCUGGGGAGUACGACCGCAAGGUUGAAACUCAAAGGAAUUGACGGGGACCCGCACAAGCGGUGGAGCAUGUGGUUUAAUUCGAAGCAACGCGAAGAACCUUACCAAAUCUUGACAUCCUUUGACAACUCUAGAGAUAGAGCCUUCCCCUUCGGGGGACAAAGUGACAGGUGGUGCAUGGUUGUCGUCAGCUCGUGUCGUGAGAUGUUGGGUUAAGUCCCGCAACGAGCGCAACCCUUAAGCUUAGUUGCCAUCAUUAAGUUGGGCACUCUAAGUUGACUGCCGGUGACAAACCGGAGGAAGGUGGGGAUGACGUCAAAUCAUCAUGCCCCUUAUGAUUUGGGCUACACACGUGCUACAAUGGACAAUACAAAGGGCAGCGAAACCGCGAGGUCAAGCAAAUCCCAUAAAGUUGUUCUCAGUUCGGAUUGUAGUCUGCAACUCGACUACAUGAAGCUGGAAUCGCUAGUAAUCGUAGAUCAGCAUGCUACGGUGAAUACGUUCCCGGGUCU
Molecule: ribosomal RNA, 1373 nt
Filed under: uncultured bacterium
Lineage: Bacteria
Description: bacterial SSU rRNA
Rfam family: Bacterial small subunit ribosomal RNA
Source: RNAcentral